RNAcentral lists this ribosomal RNA (500 nucleotides) under uncultured bacterium. RNAcentral describes it as "partial 16S ribosomal RNA". It matches the Rfam family "Bacterial small subunit ribosomal RNA", at positions 30 to 523 of the family's 1533-position model. The record is from RNAcentral.
AUUGAACGCUGGCGGCAUGCCUUACACAUGCAAGUCAAACGGCAGCACGGGAGCAAUCCUGGUGGCGAGUGGCGAACGGGUGAGUAAAGUAUCGGAACGUGCCCAGUCGUGGGGGAUAACGUAGCGAAAGUUACGCUAAUACCGCAUACGAUCUAUGGAUGAAAGCGGAGGUUCGCAAGACCUCGCGCGAUUGGAGCGGCCGAUAUCAGAUUAGGUAGUUGGUGGGGUAAAGGCUCACCAAGCCGACGAUCUGUAGCUGGUCUGAGAGGACGACCAGCCACACUGGGACUGAGACACGGCCCAGACUCCUACGGGAGGCAGCAGUGGGGAAUUUUGGACAAUGGGCGAAAGCCUGAUCCAGCCAUGCCGCGUGCAGGAUGAAGGCCUUCGGGUUGUAAACUGCUUUUGUACGGAACGAAAAGGUUUGGCCUAAUAAGCUGAGCUCAUGACGGUACCGUAAGAAUAAGCACCGGCUAACUACGUGCCAGCCGCCGCAGUAA